RNAcentral lists this ribosomal RNA (472 nucleotides) under uncultured bacterium. Its description in RNAcentral is "bacterial SSU rRNA". It matches the Rfam family "Bacterial small subunit ribosomal RNA", at positions 355 to 825 of the family's 1533-position model. The record is from RNAcentral.
UGGGGAAUUUUGGACAAUGGGCGCAAGCCUGAUCCAGCCAUUCCGCGUGCAGGAUGAAGGCCCUCGGGUUGUAAACUGCUUUUGUACGGAACGAAACGGUCCGAGCUAAUACCUCGGGCUAAUGACGGUACCGUAAGAAUAAGCACCGGCUAACUACGUGCCAGCAGCCGCGGUAAUACGUAGGGUGCAAGCGUUAAUCGGAAUUACUGGGCGUAAAGCGUGCGCAGGCGGUUAUGUAAGACAGGUGUGAAAUCCCCGGGCUUAACCUGGGAACUGCAUUUGUGACUGCAUAGCUAGAGUACGGUAGAGGGGGAUGGAAUUCCGCGUGUAGCAGUGAAAUGCGUAGAUAUGUGGAGGAAUACCGAUGGCGAAGGCAGCCCCCUGGGAUAACACUGACGCUCAUGCACGAAAGCGUGGGGAGCAAACAGGAUUAGAUACCCCCGUAGUCCCUGAGCGGGCUGGCAAGGCGCAU